This 318-nucleotide long non-coding RNA is filed under the name Eucalyptus grandis. Its description in RNAcentral is "long non-coding RNA (EGRA_LNC002737)". Lineage: Eukaryota; Viridiplantae; Streptophyta; Magnoliopsida; Myrtales; Myrtaceae. The record is from RNAcentral.
CGGAAGCGUAUUAUAAAACCCCUGACAAUAAAAUACGGGAUAGAAAAGCAAGAAACAAUUUCACAACCAAUCACUUACAUAAACCAACGAAGUUACAAACGAAGGCCUAUAGCCAAAAGUCUACAAAAGACCGGCUCUUAAAAAGGAAUUAUGCUACGACCUACAAGUCGGACACGUUCUCCAAUCUUAUGCCUUCACCUCUGCAACUCCUCAAGGCCAACCAAAGCUAUCUGGCCACUCCGUCCAUCAGGGACCUGAAAUUUUAAUCCCACAAUCGGGAUGAGACGAUAUCUCAGCAAGUUCAACCCCCUAAACCCC